Molecule: ribosomal RNA, 245 nt
Filed under: uncultured bacterium
Lineage: Bacteria
Description: partial 16S ribosomal RNA
Rfam family: Bacterial small subunit ribosomal RNA
Source: RNAcentral
UACGGAGGGUGCAAACGUUGCUCGGAAUUAUUGGGCGUAAAGCGCGUGUAGGCGGCUAAUUAAGUCGAGUGUGAAAGCCCUGAGCUUAACUCAGGAAGUGCGCUCGAUACUGAUAAGCUUGAGUACGGGAGAGGGUAGUGGAAUUCCCGGUGUAGAGGUGAAAUUCGUAGAUAUCGGGAGGAACACCAGUGGCGAAGGCGGCUACCUGGACCGAUACUGACGCUGAGACGCGAAAGCGUGGGGAG